CCUACGGGUGGCAGCAGUGGGGAAUAUUGGACAAUGGGGGGAACCCUGAUCCAGCCAUGCCGCGUGUGUGAAGAAGGCCCUCGGGUUGUAAAGCACUUUCAGUGAGGAAGAACGCCUAGUGGUUAAUACCCAUCAGGAAAGACAUCACUCACAGAAGAAGCACCGGCUAACUCCGUGCCAGCAGCCGCGGUAAUACGGAGGGUGCGAGCGUUAAUCGGAAUUACUGGGCGUAAAGCGCGCGUAGGUGGCUUGAUAAGCCGGUUGUGAAAGCCCCGGGCUCAACCUGGGAACGGCAUCCGGAACUGUCAAGCUAGAGUGCAGGAGAGGAAGGUAGAAUUCCCGGUGUAGCGGUGAAAUGCGUAGAGAUCGGGAGGAAUACCAGUGGCGAAGGCGGCCUUCUGGACUGACACUGACACUGAGGUGCGAAAGCGUGGGUAGCAAACAGGAUUAGAUACCCGUGUAGUC
Molecule: ribosomal RNA, 465 nt
Filed under: Vreelandella stevensii
Lineage: Bacteria; Pseudomonadati; Pseudomonadota; Gammaproteobacteria; Oceanospirillales; Halomonadaceae
Description: partial 16S ribosomal RNA
Rfam family: Bacterial small subunit ribosomal RNA
Source: RNAcentral